This is a long non-coding RNA of Homo sapiens (human), 936 nucleotides long. Ensembl annotates it as long intergenic non-protein coding RNA 1865. NCBI's taxonomy places the organism in Eukaryota, Metazoa, Chordata, Mammalia, Primates, Hominidae. The record is from Ensembl.
CUUCUGUCCUCUCCCCUCUGCCUUCUCCCUCUCCCCUCUCCCCUGUCGCCUCUGCCCUGCUCCCUUCUCUGUCCUGGGCUUCUGCCCCCCUCACCGCUCUCUGCAUCCACUCCAGCUUUUCCCCCCUUCACUUUCUCCAAACAGUGAUUUUUUGAAACUAAUAUCAACAAGAUCAGGACAACUGCAAUCACUUUACCCGACUUGUCAGUUUCCUAUUUAGAAAAUUCAGACUAUGGAGUGGAAUUGGCUCCUCAUGGGACCCAUGCCAAAGCUGCAGCGUUGUGCAAUGGAUUCCAUCAGAGUUUGGCACUUUUUUCUUCAAAGUUACGGUGCAGGUGACUGAGGACAGCUGUUGCGAGCGCUGCUUCUUGGUUCCCCCGGAAUGGGAGGCAUCACGUGCGGCUUCCAGGAGGCCACCUCAGGGAGGAUCGUGUUUCCAUGCACAGCGAAGGAUCUGGGCAGUGUGCUGGACCUUCUCUUGCGUGGUUAGUUGUAAAACUUGAUGCUUCUGCAGGCAGAUGAUGGCAGAAAGCUCCCACCCCACCACGCUGAUGACGGCAGAAAGCUCCCGCCCCACCACGCUGAUGACGGCAGAAAGCUCCCGCCCCACCACGCUGAUGAUGGCACUCUCGUUGGGUGGUUGUGUGGUCUUCAUACAAUUUCAGGGUAAAUCGCCACUUGAUGUCAUUGCUAAAUGGGAUACCUGAGCUAUGAUGAUUUUGCCUGAUUGUUAAAGUUAGUAUUUUAAGACCAAAGAUGGACAAAAUACGUUAAAAUUGUCUGUAAAAAGGCACAUUUCUGAAUUUGCUUUUAAUACUUUAAAAGAUAUAAAGCUGUUGUAUUAUAACAGGAAGGAUUGCUACAAGAACAGAUCUGUCAGAAAACAAAACCGCAUCUUGAAUUGAAAUGGAAAAUGAAAUUUAGCUACACUUCGUA